UACAGAGGGUGCGAGCGUUAAUCGGAAUUACUGGGCGUAAAGCGUGCGUAGACGGCUAUCUAAGUCGGGUGUGAAAGCCCCGGGCUCAACCUGGGAAUUGCAUUCGAGACUGAAUAGCUAGGGUACGGUAGAGGGAAGUGGAAUUUCCGGUGUAGCGGUGAAAUGCGUAGAUAUUGGGAAGAACACCGGUGGCGAAGGCGACCAUCUGGACCGGAACUGACGCUGAGGCGCGAAAGCGUGGGGAGCGAACAGG
RNAcentral lists this ribosomal RNA (253 nucleotides) under uncultured bacterium. Its description in RNAcentral is "partial 16S ribosomal RNA". It matches the Rfam family "Bacterial small subunit ribosomal RNA", at positions 524 to 776 of the family's 1533-position model. The record is from RNAcentral.